UCGAUGGGAAGCAGGUUAAAAUUCCUGUACUUUUUUAUGUUUCGAUGUUGUGACGGAGAAGGUUAGGCGAGCAUACUGUUGGAAGUGUAUGUGAGUACCUGUAGGGAGGCGAACUAGGUAAAUCCGGUUUGCUGUUAAUUCUGAGGGGUGUGACGAGGUAUCUUUGAACGGAUACUGGAGUCGUUGAUACCAGGCUUCCAAGAAAAGCAACUAAGGCUAGGCAUAAGAGAACCGUACUAUAAACCGACACAGGUGGACGAGUAGAGCAUACUUAGGCGUUGAGAGAACUUGGGUGAAGGAACUAGGCAAAAUGGUACCGUAACUUCGGGAGAAGGUACGCUCCCUC
Molecule: ribosomal RNA, 346 nt
Filed under: Euplotes focardii
Lineage: Eukaryota; Ciliophora; Spirotrichea; Euplotida; Euplotidae
Description: partial Bacterial large subunit ribosomal RNA
Rfam family: Bacterial large subunit ribosomal RNA
Source: RNAcentral